Molecule: ribosomal RNA, 279 nt
Filed under: uncultured bacterium
Lineage: Bacteria
Description: partial 16S ribosomal RNA
Rfam family: Bacterial small subunit ribosomal RNA
Source: RNAcentral
UGCCAGCAGCCGCGGUAACACGGGGGGCGCGAGCGUUAUUCGAAAUUAUUGGGCGUAAAGGGCGCGUAGGUGGUCUUGUCGGUCAGGUGUGAAAGCCCGGGGCUCAACCUCGGAAUAGCGCUUGAUACUGAACUGCUUGAGACCGGAAGAGGGUAGUGGAAUUCCCAGUGUAGAGGUGAAAUUCGUAGAUAUCAGGAGGAACACCGAUGGCGAAGGCAUCUCUCUGGGCCGAUAUUGACGCUGAGGCGCGAAGGCGUGGGUAGCGAACGGGAUUAGAUA